RNAcentral lists this ribosomal RNA (500 nucleotides) under uncultured bacterium. Its description in RNAcentral is "partial 16S ribosomal RNA". It matches the Rfam family "Bacterial small subunit ribosomal RNA", at positions 29 to 504 of the family's 1533-position model. The record is from RNAcentral.
AACGAGCGCUGGCGGCGUGCCUAACACAUGCAAGUCGAACGAGAAAGGGGCUUCGGCUCCGAGUAAAGUGGCGCACGGGUGAGUAACACGUGGGUAACCUGCCUCUAAGAUUGGGAUAACUCGUCGAAAGAUGAGCUAAUACCGAAUAAGACCACAGUUCCCGCGGGAACAGGGGUCAAAGGUAGCCUCUGCUUGCAAGCUAUCACUUAGAGAUGGGCCUGCGCACCAUUAGCUAGUUGGUAGGGUAACGGCCUACCAAGGCAAAGAUGGUUAGCUGGUCUGAGAGGAUGAUCAGCCACACUGGAACUGAGACACGGUCCAGACUCCUACGGGAGGCAGCAGUGGGGAAUAUUGCGCAAUGGGCGAAAGCUUGACGCAGCAACGCCGCGUGAGUGAUGAAGGCCUUCGGGUCGUAAAGCUCUGUCGGGAGGAACGAAUGCUCCUGAGGUUAACAGCCUCGGGAGGUGACGGUACCUUCAAAGGAAGCACCGGCUAACUCU